AUUGAACGCUGGCGGCAGGCUUAACACAUGCAAGUCGAGCGGGGUGAUGGUGCUUGCACUAUCACUUAGCGGCGGACGGGUGAGUAAUGCUUAGGAAUCUGCCUAUUAGUGGGGGACUACAUCUCGAAAGGGAUGCUAAUACCGCAUACGUCCUACGGGAGAAAGCAGGGGAUCACUUGUGACCUUGCGCUAGUAGAUGAGCCUAAGUCGGAUUAGCUAGUUGGUGGGGUAAAGACCUACCAAGGCGACGAUCUGUAGCGGGUCUGAGAGGAUAAUCCGCCACACUGGGACUGAGGCACGGCCCAGAAUCCUACGGGAGGCAGCAGUGGGGAAUAUUGGACAAUGGGGGGAACCCUGAUCCAGCCAUGCCGCGUGUGUGAAGAAGGCCUUAUGGUUGUAAAGCACUUUAAGCGAGGAGGAGGCUCUUUUGGUUAAUACCCAAGAUGAGUGGACGUUACUCGCAGAAUAAACACCGGCUAACUCUGUGCCAGCCGCCGCCGUAA
This 503-nucleotide ribosomal RNA is filed under the name uncultured bacterium. RNAcentral's name for it is "partial 16S ribosomal RNA". It matches the Rfam family "Bacterial small subunit ribosomal RNA", at positions 30 to 523 of the family's 1533-position model. The record is from RNAcentral.